AACGAACGCUGGCGGCAUGCCUAACACAUGCAAGUCGAACGAAGUCUUCGGACUUAGUGGCGCACGGGUGCGUAACGCGUGGGAAUCUGCCCUUGGGUGCGGAAUAACUUCUCGAAAGGGAUGCUAAUACCGCAUAAUGUCGUAAGACCAAAGAUUUAUCGCCCAAGGAUGAGCCCGCGUAAGAUUAGCUAGUUGGUGGGGUAAAAGCCUACCAAGGCGACGAUCUUUAGCUGGUCUGAGAGGAUGAUCAGCCACACUGGGACUGAGACACGGCCCAGACUCCUACGGGAGGCAGCAGUGGGGAAUAUUGGACAAUGGGCGAAAGCCUGAUCCAGCAAUGCCGCGUGAGUGAUGAAGGCCCUAGGGUUGUAAAGCUCUUUCGUGGGGGAAGAUAAUGACGGUACCCCAAGAAGAAGCCCCGGCUAACUCCGUGCCAGCAGCCGCGGUAAU
RNAcentral lists this ribosomal RNA (450 nucleotides) under uncultured bacterium. Its description in RNAcentral is "bacterial SSU rRNA". It matches the Rfam family "Bacterial small subunit ribosomal RNA", at positions 29 to 524 of the family's 1533-position model. The record is from RNAcentral.